RNAcentral lists this ribosomal RNA (804 nucleotides) under uncultured bacterium. RNAcentral describes it as "bacterial SSU rRNA". It matches the Rfam family "Bacterial small subunit ribosomal RNA", at positions 8 to 796 of the family's 1533-position model. The record is from RNAcentral.
AGAGUUUGAUCCUGGCUCAGAACGAACGCUGGCGGCGUGCCUAACACAUGCAAGUCGAACGUGAUUGAGAGCUUGCUCUCAUGAAAGUGGCGCACGGGUGAGUAACGCGUAGAUAAUCUACCUGGUGAUCCGGGAUAACACUUCGAAAGGGGUGCUAAUACCUGAUAAGCCCACGGAGUCCUCGGACUCUGCGGGAAAAGGGGGGGACCUUCGGGCCUUCCGUCAUCAGAUGAGUCUGCGUACCAUUAGCUAGUUGGUAGGGUAAAGGCCCACCAAGGCUACGAUGUCUAGGGGUUCUGAGAGGAUUAUCCCCCACACUGGUACUGAGACACGGACCAGACUCCUACGGGAGGCAGCAGUAAGGAAUAUUGGUCAAUGGGCGCAAGCCUGAACCAGCCAUGCCGCGUGAAGGAUGACGGCCCUAUGGGUUGUAAACUUCUUUUGUACGGGAAAAAACCACCGGUCGUGUAUCGGUGCUGAUGGUACCGUAAGAAUAAGCAUCGGCUAACUCCGUGCCAGCAGCCGCGGUAAUACGGAGGAUGCAAGCGUUAUCCGGAUUCAUUGGGUUUAAAGUGUGCGCAGGCGGAAUAAUAAGUCAGCGGUGAAAGCCUACAGCUUAACUGUAGAACUGCCAUUGAUACUGUUAUUCUUGAGUGUUGUUGAGGUAGGCGGAAUGUGUCAUGUAGCGGUGAAAUGCUUAGAUAUGACACAGAACACCGAUCGCGAAGGCAGCUUACCAAGCAACAACUGACGCUCAUGCACGAAAGCGUGGGGAUCAAACAGGAUUAGAUACCCUGGUAGUCC